Non-coding RNA from Struthio camelus australis, 4529 nucleotides. NCBI's taxonomy places the organism in Eukaryota, Metazoa, Chordata, Aves, Struthioniformes, Struthionidae. The record is from RefSeq and is a predicted model, not a curated record.
CGGCUACAUUGUGAAUAGACUCAUGCCUCUUCCGUGGAAUAAAACGCAAGCUUCUGAAAAUACCAUGGCAGGAGUCAGAAAAGGUUUUGGGCUUUUUCCAUCGCCCAUGAAUGCCCUCUGAUUUCCUGAUCUUGGUGCUGGCAAAACCCCACUUGAAUCCACAAGCUUGUUCCUGUCUCUGGGAGCAGAUGCGCUGGAUGGCCUGCUAAACCUGACCUGCUGGUUCCCAAAGUCAGAAGAAAGCCUGGGGACCGUGUGCUUCGGCCAGGCACUAGGGCCUCCCCUCCAUCUCUGAAGCCAACACAGGAAGGUGCUGCACUGAUAAGGAUAAAAAUAUUGCCCGUUGGAAAUGGGUGCACAAGAUUUUUCAUCUUCUGAAAUGGGGAUUUGUGAUGCAGCAACCUGAAGCUUCCCCUUUCAGGUUUGUUUUGUAUAGCACUUGACUUGGGUCACUUUGAAGGGAAGGGCUAAGGGCGCAGCAGCAGAUGCAGGAACAUUACUUAAGAAAUUGCUUUUCUGUCCUGUGUGAAGACAAAGAGCUUUUGGCAUUCGUGCAGACUUAAGAGAACAUCUGCGUGAUGGCGGAAGAUUGUGUGAUAAUGGAAAUGAAGCCUCGGAGGAAAAUCUUUUUGCUGAUAAAAAUAAGACUGUUUAUAAGAACUUUCACUGCUGUUCUUUUUUCAGAUUUCUUUAUUUUCGUCAUGUUUUCUUUCUUAUUGGCAGACAUGAUAACCUCUUUAGAAGUCUGUGCCCAUCAUGAAGAAACUGAUUACAUCAUACACCACUACUUUCAGUGGUUGUGUUCUCUCAUUCUGUCUUUCUUAUGCUUUAGAGUACAAAUUUAAAGGUCUGGCUAUACACACAAGUUGCACGGCCUGAACUAAAUUACUUCCAAAGUUGAAGUUAGUUCAAUUUAAUUCUUUAGGUGUUUAAACCAGUUAACUAAUACGGAUUUAGUUUAAGUAGGUACAACUAAGUUGAUUUAGGAUUAUAUGCAGAAGAGAUUGUACCCGUUUAAUCCUGAAAGCAAUUGUUUUAAUUCUGUUGAUACAAUUUCUGUGUUUAGAUUUCACCUUGGAUAUAUUUCUAAAUUGUGAAGUCAACCAGAUAUCUUAAAACCUUGAGAACAUGAGAUUUUUUUUCUUUUAAUUUGUGAAAAUUACUUUGCCUAUAGCACAAGAAAACUUCAUGAUCACACCAUGAGCAGGAAAAGAAGAGAAAGGAGAGCAGAACACGAAGCUGAUCUGCCUAAUUUUAUUGCGCAACACUAACGAAGAGCUAAGCAUUAACGACAGGUUGUGACCCACACUCCUAUUACCAAGGCUGAAAGCGCUUUGCAUGAGGUGAGCCUUGCAGGCUGCCCGUAUGAAUCUUUAUAGCACAUAUCAAAUCUUAGAUAAGUUAAUUGAGCUAAGCCUAUACUGUAUGUAGUGGGGCUUUCUCAAAAUAUUGCACCUACUAAGCAUACAAAAUACCAUGAGAUGAGUGAACACAAUAAAUGAACAUAAGAAAAACAGCACAUGUUUCAUGUGUGCUGGCAGUAAGGAGAUGAUCACUACCCUGGCAUCUGAGAAAGUCUCUACACUGCUUGUAUGAUUUGGGUUUUGUCUUCUAACUUCUGGGGCUCAGACUUCCCCCUCUGUAAUCUGAAUGAUAACAUCCAAUUCAGUGACAGAGUAAGGCUUAGAUAUUUGUAUCAUGAGGUCCAUGGAGGAGAGGACUGUUUGAAAUAUAAAGAUACUACAAUUUAGCUUUUUCCUUAGUGUUUGUAGACUAUAUUUUGCCCUUUUGCAUUGAUUUUGUAAACCUUUUGCACUAAGGAGAGCGCGCACGCACACGCACACGACCCCCCCACCCAAGCCUCCCAAAACCAAAAAAGCAAAAAUCACAAGAUCCUUACCCUGUAAUAAUGGGUUAAGAAAGAAUUUUCCCUUGAAGAUGUGCGUGUUCUGCGCUCCCUCCUAAAAACUAACCUACGAAUAUUUAAGGCAAAGGCUGUGGGUCUGAUUUACCAUCCACUGAAGUCAAUGGUAAAAAUUCUACUGCUAUCAGAAAGAGAGGUGAUCUUCUAGAUAUGCUCUAGAAUAUCUAGACUGUUAUUCUAGGUAUGAUCUGUGGAUGUCUCAGUGCCUAAGGUAUUUCCCUGCUACAAUGGCUUAGUCUAAUUGAGUUCAUAUUUAUUUUGCCUUGAAUAAUUCUAUUUGAAAAGCAUAGGAGGCACUUUUGACGCUGAAAAACCUAUUCUGUAGCUGCAUGGCUAGAAAUAAGAAAACAUGCAAUUCAAGUUUCUUUGCCAGUUUGGCUUUCACCAGUUAAGUUUUGGGGGUUAGCCGAGGAUAUUCAUAAACAUAUGCACAAAAAAGAUACGUCCCAUUAUGAACACUUACGGUUUAAAGAUUCUCAUCUGGCAUCCUGAAUUGUCAGCAACCCCAAUACAUGCAGAUUUCAUUAAGUUGAGUAGUGAUUGUGCUUACUUGGACCCAGGAAAACAUGUGGUAAAUCAGAGUUGGCCACAGAUGAACAGAAUAGCAACUCAGAAGUUCACGGUGACUUUGGGUGGCAGAACUGCUUAUUACUUGGAAAAGGCCUGGAAGCUGACUUCCAGUGAAUCCUGAUCGUUCUCAAGGAGGAGUCAGAGGGAAAAUAUGCAUCUUCAGCACAGGCUGAGAAGCAGCUUUUGUAAUAGAUGUUCUGAACCACUUUUUAAAAGGUGUUCUUUAUGUUUAAAAUGCCAAUCAGUAAAUCGUGCAAUUAAAUACAGAAUUAUGUAUCACUGUAUCCUCACAUAUAUUUUCCUCAUCCAAAAAAGUACACAGACUCAACUGCAGCCUUUGUUAAUUUAUUUGAAAUACCACCAUUCCCUAAUAAGUAUUUUUAAAUUGGUUUAGGGUUGAGGACCAUGUAGCAAGUAAAAUGGGCAAGAAUUAAUUUGAAGUUCUUCAAGGGCAAAAAUGUGAUUUUAUUCAUCACUGUAGUAUUCCUCUGUUCAGAUUGAUCAGAUCAGUUUAGACUACUCAGAAGCUCUACAGCUGUCUUUUCCUUUUGAGACUAAAAAACUCUUAUGAGAAAAUUUGUUAUGUUGAAAAACGGAUGGUGCUAAUGGAUGAUUAAAUGUCUGGGCUAACUUUGUUUUCAAUGUUUUCAUUGGGAUAACUCAAUUUAAUACAAUGUAAUAGAAUUUUCUGGUAUAUGUUAAAGUCCAAAUGGUGAUGUGUAAAAGCAAAGAAUGAAAAUCCCUUUGAGAAAUCUACUUAAAAGCUGACUGUGUGAGAUUGCUGUAACCUUGUAACUCUUUAUUCAUGUGAUGAGAUAAUGACAUAAUUUAGAACUGGGUGACUUAGUGAUAUAUGUUUCAUUUAGAUUCUUUCUACCAGGUGACAUUUAUUGAAAGCUGACUGCUGAGCUGCAUUCCAUGCCUUGUGCUAUCUAUCUGCCUUGGAGCUGUUGGACACUAAAACCCUUCUAACUGGAUUAUUAUGCUGCGGUUCCUCUCUUCACCAGCCUGGUCUACAUUACACCUAGAGGUAAUCAGCUGUGUUUGUUUUCCAGGCAAAGGAUAUUAUAUAUCUUCAUUUUGCACUGUUGACUAGAGGGAGUUUGUGGAGUUUGCCUAGGUUAAAUUUAUGAACCCUAUUUUAAUACUGUAAACUCUCUAUGUGCUUGACUGUCUUUCACUGCAUUUUGACCAUGUGCUUAUGUGCUAAGAAAUAGGAACGUGCCACGUCUGCUGUGCCCUGCAUCCUUGGUGUAAAGAGAUAGAAAAUUUGCUCCAACAUCCAGGUAAGAAAGCUGCUGGGACCCAGAGAAUAAAAGGAUGGAUUUUGGUGAAGCCUUUAAAGUCUGAGCUUGGGAUGACUAAAGGAUUUUGGGACAGAAUAAGGAAACAAGGAGACAAUUUUUAUGGAGAAAACAGGUAUAUUUUCAAUGAACGGAAGAGGCAAUCAGCCAGAGCUCAAAGGUAACCUCCUGUAAGAGGCACAGGCUGUGAGUUAACUACAGCAGGGUGAUCUUAACCCUAACGUAGUGGUUGCAUGGUAACUUGGGCAUAAACCCAUGCUACUGUGGAAAGGGAAGAGCCCACCUUACAUCUCCUGCAUCCUCGUGGUUCAUUCCCACUGCCUCUUUUGGGCUCACACAAGGGGUUUAUGCUGCUGUACGGUAACCUGAAGCAAAGGUAGAUCUGCUGAAAAGGAAACCAGGCGGUGGGGAGAGGCAGGAGACUGUCAGAAGUAUUAUGGAAACAUGCUGAAUUCAACUGACUGUGUAACCACAACCUUGUACGUCCCACUUUUCUGAGCACUGUGGUCAUGUGAUGUCCUGGAGAACAAGUUCAACAGGCUCAUGUCUUUGCAAACAAUAUUUUGCAAAGCUGUGUUUGUGAUUUUGCUUGGAUAAAAGAUGACUGUUGGUUGCCAAUGAGAUAACUACUGUGUAUGUAAACAGGUUCCUAGGUGACGCAGUAAUAGAAUUGUUAACAUCACUUAUACAGUUGGUCUGGAUUUCCUCUCUCAUUUUCUUGUGAGCGUCUA